Molecule: long non-coding RNA, 1297 nt
Filed under: Gallus gallus (chicken)
Lineage: Eukaryota; Metazoa; Chordata; Aves; Galliformes; Phasianidae
Description: lncRNA (ENSGALG00010025611.1)
Source: RNAcentral
UUUCUGGUUUAAGAUUCUUCCUUUGUAGAGUUUUCUCUGCGUGGUUCAAUCUUUAGAGCUAGUUGUGCCCAAUACAUCUUGCACAGAAGAGGGAUUCUCAUCAGUUGUGAGCAGUGCAGUUAUCUUCUGGAUUUGGACAUGAAUCAGAAUGUAAUUGCUUUAAAUUGGUUUGAAGAAUGGUAAGAUCCCCUUUCUGCACCCAAAAAAACCAGGUAAAUAUUACAAAUUAGUCCACAACUGUGAAAGAAAGCUGAGUAGGAUAUUCUGCACAAGGUGGACUGACAAUAAGUACUGAACUAAGAAGACUUCAGGGGAGAGAAGAAAGACAAGAUGUAUACUCAACAGCUCUCAUUUUACAUGAAAAUAUGUUCUGACCAUCCUCAUCAUUAUGCUGAGCUCUCAAGUAACUGAGUAGUUGCUACUUUGCAUUAUGGAAGAAACAGAGUUAUGGAGCUACACUGGAGGGUGGAAGGAAGCAUCUUUAUUCUUUUAAUCUUCAUUUUCUCUAUACUUAUUUAUAAAUGUAUUCUGUUUUUCCCCUUCUACAAAGCCAGCAAGAAGUAGUUGAUUAUGGUCCUCUGAGCUAAAACAAAAUGCUAAAAAAAAAUGUUCUGUUCCAUUUUCUUCCUUCUCAAUGGUUUUGAUAUUACAGAUGUAUGACUUUCCUAUGCAGAAGAUCUGAUUAGUAAUUGGGAAGUAGAUAUUCCAAACUUGAAGUUCUUUGUUUAUUGUCUGCUAACAGCACUUUUAAGCAAGUAGCUCCAUUAAGGUUUCUGACAAGAUCAGGCCUCAACAUUCUCUUGUUUUUUUAAAGCUGAAUAGAUCAGAACACAAUUUAGCUUAAAAAAGUGACAACAAACUGAAGGUGUUUAGUUAGCUCUGUUAGUUGUUAACUCACUGGAGGAUUUUUUCUGUUUAAAGUGCUGUUUAUUUUUUUGCUCUCUUUAAGAGUAUAUGUGUGGAAACUGUAUGAGCCCUGAUAUAGCUCAAGAAAUGUAAAGAAUAUGUAUGAAGUAUAAUGUAGCAAAUCCGGUAUUGUUACUUUUUGACUUCAUGCAAACUCCAGUGGAAAAAUGUGAUAGUUAUCAUCUGAAUGCUAUAAUUCAACAAAAUUGCUGUUUGUGCCACUAUAUGAUGUAAAGAAAUCAAACUAAUCCAGUGUUUUUUGGAACAUGUGCACACAUUUGCAUAUAUGUGCAUGUUUAUUCUAAAAUAUAACCUGAAUACACUAUUUACACCCUGAUUGAAAAGAGCUGGUAAAUUUUGCCAGCUGUCAAGGAAUAAACUGACAAAAUAG